This 71-nucleotide transfer RNA is filed under the name Hebius craspedogaster (Kuatun keelback). RNAcentral describes it as "tRNA-Gln". It matches the Rfam family "tRNA". From Rfam's summary of the family: Transfer RNA (tRNA) molecules are approximately 80 nucleotides in length. Their secondary structure includes four short double-helical elements and three loops (D, anti-codon, and T loops). Lineage: Eukaryota; Metazoa; Chordata; Lepidosauria; Squamata; Natricidae. The record is from RNAcentral.
UAGGGAGUAGUACAUUGGCAGUAUAGAGAGUUUUGAGCUUUCUGGUUCGAGUUCGAUUCUUGACUUUCUAG